Long non-coding RNA from Hyla sarda, 2715 nucleotides. RefSeq lists it as uncharacterized. The record is from RefSeq and is a predicted model, not a curated record. NCBI's taxonomy places the organism in Eukaryota, Metazoa, Chordata, Amphibia, Anura, Hylidae. The transcript has 5 exons.
CCCAGCUUUACACUUCCAGUCUGGGAGAUUUCUUUUAUUUUGUGCACUCGGCUUUUGCACCGUGAUGGCCUUUCCUCGGGCUGGAUGAUCUUCUAUGGCAUCUUUCUGCACAGACGUGAGAUUUGCUACCUACUCAGCAUUUUAUAAAAUACAUGUAGUGAAAGUACAAAAUUUCACAAAAUGUUGUCACAUCCUCUUCAUGUGCAGCUCAAUGGGGACUGGAAGUAUUAGACAAUACAAAGUCAUCAUUAUUUCACGGCUCUCUUGGUAACAUCUGCAGCUAUCUGUACCAAAAAUUUCAUCUAGAAAUGGGAAAAGAUUCCACUCCCUACUUGCACCUAAAUUCACUAUGAUAUACUUGGCAAGUUUGAAUCGAAAUUGCGUUAGAAACACUGAUGCUGCAGAAUAAAGGAAAUCUUUGGACUGAAACUAUGCAACUUCAGCUCGUCCGGCCUAAGUAUUGAUGAUUCUUUCCACCUGCUUUAUUGCUCGUCUAGCUCUGGUACUCUCUCUCUACUAUUGUGAAUUUAUUUUACUCUUCACUCCACUCCACCUGGUGGAAUGCCUCCCAAGUCAAACCAGAGGAAGUCUGGGGUUAGCCCCCCAAAGAGAGGCCCCCAGGUGGGAGAAUAGAAAAAUACCUUGACUCCCCGAAAGGGGAGAGUAAGAAUCAAGGGAACACGGGGCUAUCCCCUAAAAGAUCUAAGACUGGCUCAAGGUUUGAUCCGCUUGCAAUGGCGGAGGAAGGAGCAGAGAGGAGCAUGAACAGAGUGAGCAAUUACUACAGUGUAUCCUGGCGGAGUUGAAGCAGUGUAACACAGGUCUUAGGAACCUCUCUACUCAAGUGGGUGCCCUAUAAACUGACAUUUUGCUGAUUCGCGACGACAUGAACAGGAUGAAAGAGAGGGUGUCGGCGGUAAAGAAAGUUAUCCCUGAUAUCGAUAUAAAAGUUACUGUCACUAAAUCAGAAAUUGAUGCUCUUAAAGAGGAGAACGCUUUGUUUAAAAAGAAAAUCAUAGACAUGGAGGACCAUUCUAGGGCUCAAACAUUAAAUUGAUCGGUCUCCGAGAGGGCAUGGAGGGGGAAAACCUGUGCAGGUUUUGCCAGGACUGGCUAAAAGAGACCUUUAACUCCUUAAGGAUGUAGUGCGUACCUGUACGCCCUACGCCCGUUCUCGGUGUUUAAAACGGGGUCACGCCGUGACCCCGCAUCACACCGGGUCAGUCCCGGCUGUUAAUCAUAGCUGGGCUAACAGCGCGCGGCAUCGAUCGUUGUGCCGUGUGCUGUUAACCCUUCAGAUUCGGCGAUCAAAGUUGACCGCCGCAUCUGAAAAUGAAAGUAAACGCUUCCCGGCAGCUCAGUCGGCUGAUCGGGACAUGGCGAUAAAAGGAGAUCAGCGUGUGCAGUGCUAUAGCUCCCUAUGGGAGCUAUAGCACUGCAAAAAAAAGUGAAAAAAAAAGUUAACAAAGGUCAUUUAACCCCUUCCCUAAUAAAAAUUUUAAUCCCCCCCCCUUUUCCCAUAAAGAAAACCUGUGUAAAUAAAAAUAAACAUAUGUGGUAUCGCCACAUGCGAAAAUGUCCGAACUAUAAAAAUAUAUUCCUAAUUAAAUCGCACGGUCAAUGGCGUGCGCGCAAAAAAGUUCCAAAGUCCAAAAUAGUGUAUUUUUGGUCACUUUUUAUAUCAUGAAAAAAUGAAUAAAAAGCGAUCAAAAAGUCCAAUCAAUACAAAAAUGGUACCUUAAAAAAAUGAGCCCUUAUACCAGCCCGUACGCAGAAAAAUAAAAAAGUUAUAGGGGUUAGAAGAUGAGAAUUUUUUACAUAUAAAUUUUCCUGCAUGUAGUUAUGAUUUUUUUCCGAAGUACGGCAAUAUCCAACCUAUAUAAGUAGGGUAUCCUUUAAACCGUAUGGACCUACAGAAUAACGAUAAGGUGUUAUUUUUACCGAAAAAUGCACUGCAUAGAAACGGAAGCCCCCAAAAGUUACAAAAUGACAUUUUUUCUUCAAUUUUGUCGCACAAUGAAUUCUUUUCCAUUUAGCCAUGGAUUUUUGGGUAAAAUGACUAAUGUCACUGCAAAGUAGAAUUGAUUGCGCAAAAAAUAAGCCAUAAUAUGAAAUUUUAUAUGCAAAAUUGAAAGCGUUAUGAUUUUUAAAAGGUGAUGAGGAAUAAAUGGAAAGGCAAAAACGGAAAAACCCUGCUUCCUUAAGGGGUUAAGGAGUCAAAUUUUCUAAUCUUUCAGAUCACUCCCCAAUAGCAAUCAGAAUUAACUCGGUUAGUGUCCCUAGAGUAUGCCCCCCUCCUUUUAAACUGAAUCCUCAUUGGUUGGAGAUUUUGAAUCGUGAUACAUUUUUCAUCAAAGAAAUUAAAACCUUCUGGGAAAUUAAUAAGGGCUUAACUAGCCUUAAUGUAGCAUGUGACUCACUUAACACCUUAAUGACCACGGACGUAAAUGUAUGUCCUAGUUUGGCGGGACUUCCCGCACCAGGAUGUACAUUUACGUACUGUGUAUGACCGCGAGCAUCGGAACGGUGCCCGUGUCAUACAUGGCAGGUUCCGAUUGCGCGGAUGUCCGCCAUUAACCCCUCAGAUGCCGUGAUCAAUACAGAUCACGGCAUCUGCAGCAGUGCGGUACUUUGAAUGGAUGAUCGGAUCGCCCGCAGCGCUGCACGGCUGUCUCCCGGGGUCUUCUGCUCUGGUCUGAGAUCGAGCAGACCAGA